GGGCAUUUGGUCUAGUGGUAUGAUUCUUGCUUAAGGUGCGAGAAGUCCCGAGUUCAAUUCUCGUAAUUGCCA
Molecule: transfer RNA, 72 nt
Filed under: Amborella trichopoda
Lineage: Eukaryota; Viridiplantae; Streptophyta; Magnoliopsida; Amborellales; Amborellaceae
Rfam family: tRNA
About the family: Transfer RNA (tRNA) molecules are approximately 80 nucleotides in length. Their secondary structure includes four short double-helical elements and three loops (D, anti-codon, and T loops). Further hydrogen bonds mediate the characteristic L-shaped molecular structure. tRNAs have two regions of fundamental functional importance: the anti-codon, which is responsible for specific mRNA codon recognition, and the 3' end, to which the tRNAs corresponding amino acid is attached (by aminoacyl-tRNA synthetases). tRNAs cope with the degeneracy of the genetic code in two manners: having more than one tRNA (with a specific anti-codon) for a particular amino acid; and 'wobble' base-pairing, i.e. permitting non-standard base-pairing at the 3rd anti-codon position.
Source: Rfam by way of RNAcentral